RNAcentral lists this ribosomal RNA (465 nucleotides) under uncultured bacterium. Its description in RNAcentral is "bacterial SSU rRNA". It matches the Rfam family "Bacterial small subunit ribosomal RNA", at positions 338 to 795 of the family's 1533-position model. The record is from RNAcentral.
CCUANGGGUGGCAGCAGUGGGGAAUUUUGGACAAUGGGGGCAACCCUGAUCCAGCCAUUCCGCGUGAGUGAAGAAGGCCUUCGGGUUGUAAAGCUCUUUCGCAAGGGAAGAAAACUUAUCUAAUAACACUAGGUGAGGCUGACGGUACCUUGAUAAGAAGCACCGGCUAACUACGUGCCAGCAGCCGCGGUAAUACGUAGGGUGCGAGCGUUAAUCGGAAUUACUGGGCGUAAAGCGUGCGCAGGCGGUUUGAUAAGUCAGAUGUGAAAUCCCCGGGCUUAACCUGGGAAUGGCGUUUGGGACUGCAAGGCUAGAGUACGGCAGAGGGGACUAGAAUUCCUGGUGUAGCAGUGAAAUGCGUAGAUAUCAGGAGGAAUACCGAUGGCGAAGGCAGGUCCCUGGGUUAGUACUGACGCUCAUGCACGAAAGCGUGGGGAGCAAACAGGAUUAGAUACCCCGNUANUC